GAGAGAGAGAGAGAGAGAGAGAGGAGAGAGAAACGACGGCCAUACUUCUGGUGUCUGCUGCUUGCCCUCAGAGCAGAGAAAACGAUGUGACCAUCAAACGCAGCCGCCGAAAGCCCCGUGGCGGGGGAGGGGACUGUUCCUCCAGGACGGCACCUGUUCUUCACAGAGAAACAGUUCCUCUCUCUCUCCCGCCAUGGAAGGAGCGCUAGAGCUCAACGUGGCCGACGGAGGACCCAUUGGACGGCCUCUCGUGAGUUCGGCGACCUCCAAAUCGCCUGCGGUUUCCGAUCUGAUGGGGCUGUGCAGAGCAGCGAAAUAUCAACCAA
This 326-nucleotide long non-coding RNA is filed under the name Spirodela polyrhiza (greater duckweed). Its description in RNAcentral is "long non-coding RNA (SPOL_LNC000320)". Lineage: Eukaryota; Viridiplantae; Streptophyta; Magnoliopsida; Alismatales; Araceae. The record is from RNAcentral.